UUAAAACUUUCAACAACGGAUCUCUUGGUUC
This 31-nucleotide ribosomal RNA is filed under the name unidentified. RNAcentral describes it as "partial 5.8S ribosomal RNA". The record is from RNAcentral.